GGAAAAAUCUAUUUAGGUUGUUUGAAAGUUCCUAUUCACACUCAAAAACACUUUGCAAAGGGAGAUGGAAUACCCAGCGUAAAAAGUUCCUUUAUGAAAAGACAUCUUUUCAAGCUAGGAUAAAUAUGAGGAAGACAGAUACUCGGCUAGCAACCUGACCUUUAGAAUUCCUACGUUUUAAAAGAGAAUCGUCUGUUACUUAAAGAUUUUCUUCUACCUACAACAGAGCUGAUAUUUAGAACUGAAAUUUCCUAGUAAUUAUAGCACAUUUGGCAUUUGGUGAUUUGCAGUGUUCCAGCCAUCUUCAUCCUAGAGGAUUCCCGAUGCUGAUUGUGGAUGGAUGUCAGUUCUGAGGGUUGUUUGAAUGGAAAGGCAGUCAGAGCAGGCUGCUGAUUGCAGUGACCUUGGCUUCAUUUUAUGGCUUCUAAGAACUUGAAGUGGGAAAGAAGAUGGUUAUAUUUGUUUUUUUAUCCUCAUGAUGCAGUAUUCUAAAUGGAUAUCUAAUAAAGUUCCAUCUUGAGAACUAAUGAAUUCUCUAUGACUGAAAUAACUGAGAGAUAGGUUGCACAGCAAUUUGUUGAAAGGCUUUCCUAGGAGUUUAGAAGGCAAGAGAAACCAAAGGAAAGAACAAAGAGUGAGUUCAAAACCUAGGAUUGAAUCCCUAUUUUGCCCAAUUAAAUACCCUUUUACAACUCAUCUCCUCUGAAUCUUUGGAAAUCUGUAAAAAUAAAAUUAUAAUUCCUACCAGAAGA
Callithrix jacchus (white-tufted-ear marmoset) is the source of this 752-nucleotide long non-coding RNA. RefSeq lists it as uncharacterized. The record is from RefSeq and is a predicted model, not a curated record. NCBI's taxonomy places the organism in Eukaryota, Metazoa, Chordata, Mammalia, Primates, Cebidae.